UACGAAGGGUGCAAACGUUGCUCGGAAUCAUUGGGCGUAAAGAGCGUGUAGGCGGCCAGGUAGGUCGGUUGUGAAAACUGGAGGCUCAACCUUCAGAGGUCGACCGAAACUAUCUGGCUAGAGUCCGGGAGAGGAGAGUGGAAUUCCUGGUGUAGCGGUGAAAUGCGCAGAUAUCAGGAAGAACACCCGUGGCGAAAGCGGCUCUCUGGAACGGUACUGACGCUGAGACGCGAAAGCGUGGGGAGCGAACAGG
RNAcentral lists this ribosomal RNA (253 nucleotides) under uncultured bacterium. RNAcentral describes it as "partial 16S ribosomal RNA". It matches the Rfam family "Bacterial small subunit ribosomal RNA", at positions 524 to 776 of the family's 1533-position model. The record is from RNAcentral.